GUGGGGAAUAUUGGACAAUGGGGGGAACCCUGAUCCAGCCAUGCCGCGUGUGUGAAGAAGGCCUUUUGGUUGUAAAGCACUUUAAGCGAGGAGGAGGCUACCGAGAUUAAUACUCUUGGAUAGUGGACGUUACUCGCAGAAUAAGCACCGGCUAACUCUGUGCCAGCAGCCGCGGUAAUACAGAGGGUGCAAGCGUUAAUCGGAUUUACUGGGCGUAAAGCGCGCGUAGGUGGCCAAUUAAGUCAAAUGUGAAAUCCCCGAGCUUAACUUGGGAAUUGCAUUCGAUACUGGUUGGCUAGAGUAUGGGAGAUGAUGGUAGAAUUCCAGGUGUAGCGGUGAAAUGCGUAGAGAUCUGGAGGAAUACCGAUGGCGAAGGCAGCCAUCUGGCCUAAUACCGACACUGAGGUGCGAAAGCAUGGGGAGCAAACAGGAUUAGAUACCCGAGUAGUCC
This 451-nucleotide ribosomal RNA is filed under the name uncultured bacterium. Its description in RNAcentral is "partial 16S ribosomal RNA". It matches the Rfam family "Bacterial small subunit ribosomal RNA", at positions 354 to 796 of the family's 1533-position model. The record is from RNAcentral.